CUCUCUCUCUCUCCCUACAUGUAUAGUUCAAACUAGGGUAUAAGAUUUACGUUUCUCCUUAGAACUAAAUAUGGAAAUCCCUGUUUGUUUCCACUCGUUGAACCAACACAACGAAGUAAAACCCUAGCUCCAGUUCUGAAUCGUCGAUACACGUACGCACGAAUAGGAGCGGUGAUUCGUAGCGAACCAAGAGAGAAACUAAGUUUCGCGAAGAAUACCGGUAUUCUUCUCUCAAUCGAACUUUCAAGCCUCGAUUCAGCGUCUCCAUUUAUCAUCGACUAUCUAAUCACAUCUUUCGCAGACCGAUCGAUUCAGCAAGGACUUGAAGGUGAGAUCACACGGAGGAUGUUGACUCAUAAGUCAUGGGAUCUUUCAUCUGCCAAAGACCCUAUACGGCAGGGACGGCUCCUACUUUGAUCCAAUCUAUUAAGGUGUGUUGUUUCAUUUAUCUUUCUUUCUUUACUUUUUAGUGACAAUAGCGUUUUCUUCCCAUAACUAAUACCUUUGAGGAAUCAUGCCUUCACAGUUCUUCACUUUCUCAUGUUUGUGUUUGAGGCUACAUCUGUGCUUCAAUAGAGUUGUUUUGCAAAAAGCUCAAGCUUGUGAGAAGAUCAUUACUUAGUUAAUAGAAAAUUCUCUAUGUGUUAGUUAAUAGAAAAUUCUAUACGUGUACAUAACCGAGGGAAUUGGCUUUUAUUUCUAAUUUUUGGAUAAGCCUCUUCUGGUAAACUAAUGUGUAAGUUUCUUUCCUCCACGACUUGUUUUAACACCAAAGUUGCAGGUUUCAAACUUGGUAAUACAACGUCUAAUAUGCUUAAUCAGCUUUCUAAUGAACACUGGCUUGAAAAUUGGUGUGGCUCACAACCGAAAAUCCUUUGAAAACUGGUGUAUCCACAUGUUUUGGUGCUUUGUCGGGUGUAGAUAAUAUCCAUUACGAGACAGAAUACAGAAGAGAAUGGUGCACUAGCAAGGGGAAACCCUCUCCCUGCUCCCUUUUUGCUAGGAAGUUCAAUAAACUUGCUGCUCUUCCACUUCUUAAUAUGAUUUGCAUCUUCCAUUCGCUGCUUCUCUCUCUCUCUCUCGUACAAUGGUAGACUCAAUCGUUCUGUGGCGCCAAAUACUAGCCGAUGACAAUCACAUCAGUCUUCUCCAUCAUUUCUUCUCUCACAAGAAAUAGAGAAGUUGUUUCCGGAUUGAAAUUGGAGGUGAAUGAAGAGAAAAAAGACUUUCUACUGUUGGGCGCAAGAUGCUGCUCUUAGUGUCACCAACAAAAUAAUGGAAUCUGAUUUGGCUGUACCUGAGGUCAACGUAUGUGCAGCAGCAAUGCAACUUAUGCUUAAAAUUCUGAAUUGGGACUUCUGGUAUGGCACAAAUGCAGUUACGGGUUGAAAAAGUGCCAUAGAUGUAUAUUCAGCCGAAGUUAGAUAUGAAGGUGCAAAGAGGUCUGAUUGCGUCCUAGUGCAGCCUGGCUCUUCUUGGCGUGAUGUUUUGAUAACAAGUUUUCACAUUGGGUGGCUUUUGAGUUUGUAUGGUGCACUUAGAAAGAAGUUCUUGUGUGAAGGUUAUUGGCUUGAUUGUCCUAUUGCAGUCUCUGCACGGAAACUUAUUGUACAGUUCUGUUCCUUGAUGGGAACUAUAUUUCCAU
Rhododendron vialii is the source of this 1645-nucleotide long non-coding RNA. RefSeq lists it as uncharacterized. Lineage: Eukaryota; Viridiplantae; Streptophyta; Magnoliopsida; Ericales; Ericaceae. The transcript is spliced from 6 exons. The record is from RefSeq and is a predicted model, not a curated record.